Molecule: long non-coding RNA, 304 nt
Filed under: Elaeis guineensis (African oil palm)
Lineage: Eukaryota; Viridiplantae; Streptophyta; Magnoliopsida; Arecales; Arecaceae
Description: long non-coding RNA (EGUI_LNC009386)
Source: RNAcentral
UCUCCAGCUAUUCUCCAUACCCCAGGAGCAAGAAACCCUAGGGUUUCUUGCCGCUAGAUCCAUAGAAGGCAGGAAAGCAGGGGAGGCGCUAGCCCCUCCCCCUUUGUGCCGCCAACUCUCUCUCUUCUCCCUCUCUUGCAGCCACCCAAACAUCAGGUCCAGGAUCUGAAAUCUCUUGCGAAGAGGUUGGUACAAGUUUCUCUCAAAUCUGGAGUUGAUCUGAGGUCGUUUGAGGUGCGGGUGAGAUCUCCAUCAACAGAUCUACAGGAAAGGCUGCAGCAGGACAGAUCUGCAAGGUCUGGUU